GGCUCUGACCUGUCAGCCCAGAGUCCAACGCGGGGCUCGAACCCACAAACCGUGAGAUCAUGACCUGAGCUGAGGUUGGACACCCAACUGACUGAGCCACCCAGGUGCCCCUAAAGCUGUAGUUUUAAAGAUCAUCAAAUGAGCAAGUCAUAUGGUCCAACUCCAAAUCAAAAGAUAAGGAACCAUCCUGUGCUUAUCAAGAAGCCAUGGUAAGAGGGGGCUGCAUACUAUAGGUCCACAGAGCAAGGAGCCAGAAGGGAGUGACAACAGGUGUUGAGGAGGAGAGGAGCCCACAACUGAGCAACGUCUGGGAGGGCUGUGCUGGAGCAGCGAGAACAGCAGGACAACCUGAAAGAUACAGCAUUUUAUUUGCAAAAUCUUUGCCAACUAACUUGAAGAAUGAAAGAAAAUAAUUCCAUCGCUAUCUCAAAAAGAACAUCUUUUAAGCUUCCCUCCCAACCUGAGCACCCUGGAAUCCCAGACAUUCCAAUCCUUCUGUUCUGACUCAAAUCCCCACCAUGGCAUAGAUGCAUAAUUCCCGUGGGAAGGAAACCUGAGACAGGCAGAAGCCAUUUAAGGAACGUGCACUGUACUUUCUGGUAGAGAGGGCAGCAGGGAGCACACGUCUCUGAGUCAGGCAAGGACGCCACGUGGCUGACGGCCAUCUCUCUUCAGCCAGCACAGCCUCGCAACAGCGUGACCUGGGGGGGUGUCUCAGCUGAAGAUCAAUGUCUCUGCAUCUCCAGCUUGGGAGGCGGAGUUGGAUGGAGGGGUGAAUGCUUUCUUGCCUUCAGCUAGAGCUUUAAAAUGCUGUGAGGAGAGAGGAGAGGGUACACGGAAUUUGUGGUACGUUGGCUGCUAUAUCUGAGCAAGAACUAACCUCUUCACCACCCGUAAUGCUCCAGUUUUUUCUAGGUUCCAUUUCAGAACAAUUCCUUGGUGCUGUUUUUGAAAAACAGCUAGAAAUCUGCCCCGCCUCCUUCAAAGAUGAACCCCUCUCCUUCGGUCCUGCUUCCAUCCGUUAGGCCACAUGGUUCUCCCACAAGGAGUGUCCUUGGUAGACCCUCACAAGCCUGGCCACGCCGAAGGCCCACAGCCAUUCCGCCUGCCUUCCUGUGAAAGCCCAACCCUCCUGCUUGCUGCUCUUUUAAUGACAGAGAAGGGUGAUGGUAACUCCAGCAGAAACAUCCUUGUCAAAGGAUCCUUCCCUUGUCAAAGGACACAUCACAGCCAACUCGGAGGAGUGGAGACUACAGUGAUCUGGCUACAGCUUAGAGCACUUUCUGAUGCUAGCCUCACCUGUGAGUUCUUGAAUUCCGAGUAGAGGGAAAAGAGCAGGUGUAGGGACUGAAUCCGACUCUUGUAGACAGGGAUGUCGAGGAUGGCUGAAAUCAAGAACUCCCAUGAGCAGAACCAAACAAAACCGGGAAUUAUCUGUUUAGAAUAGCCAAGCCCCUCCCAGAUGGGACGUGUUACUAUGCCUCUGGGGGUUAAACACCUGGCAGGGAGUCACCUAAGCCCAAAUACCGCCUUCAAUGCUGCCAAAUAGUAAACUGGCUUAAAGCGAGGGCCGCAACUCAAGAUGCUGUCUUCCGAGAGUAAACAAGCCUUUUCAAAAGCCCACAAUGUAUUCAUCCAGAAACGGAACCGGGAAGGGAUGGGGGAACUUACCACAGAUCAUGUCAAUGUACUCUGCCAGGCUGCAGUCGAUCUCUGCCGUGGGCAGGCUCACCUAGGAGGAGCGUGGGACGGACCAAAGUCAGAAGGCUGAAGCUUCAGUGGGGCCAGCACCCCUCCCUCUCUCUGAAGGAAGAGAGCUCCCAGCAUAAGGCAUGUCAUGUGCUCCCCCCAAAUUCCUAUAUUGAAGCCCUAACAGCCAGUACCUCAGAAUAGGACUGUAUUGGGAGACACAGUCUCAAGAGACAUAAUGAAGCUAAAAUGAGGUCAUCAGGGUGAAUCCUAAUCCAGUAACUGGUGUCCUUAUAAGAAGAGCAAAUCAGGACACAGGCACACACAGAGGGAAGACGGCCAGGAGAGAGGCCCUGGAAGAAGUCAACUCUGCUGACAACUUGACCUCACACUUCUAGCAUCCAGAUGUGUGAGAAAAUAAAUUUCUGUUGUUUAAGCCACCCAAUCUGGGUCAUGAAAGCCCUGGCAAACAAUACAAUGUGCUUUUUUCCCUCUGAUCAAUAAAAUGAGAUUGGUGACAUUCAUUAACCAUAGUGGAUGAUCUAACAGGACCAAAAAAAUAAAUAAAUAAAAAUAAGUAAAAUACAC
Felis catus (domestic cat) is the source of this 2277-nucleotide long non-coding RNA. RefSeq lists it as uncharacterized. NCBI's taxonomy places the organism in Eukaryota, Metazoa, Chordata, Mammalia, Carnivora, Felidae. The record is from RefSeq and is a predicted model, not a curated record. The transcript has 4 exons.